Molecule: ribosomal RNA, 497 nt
Filed under: uncultured bacterium
Lineage: Bacteria
Description: partial 16S ribosomal RNA
Rfam family: Bacterial small subunit ribosomal RNA
Source: RNAcentral
GACGAACGCUGGCGGCGUGCCUAACACAUGCAAGUCGAGCGAACGGACGAGAAGCUUGCUCCUCUGAUGUUAGCGGCGGACGGGUGAGUAACACGUGGAUAACCUACCUAUAAGACUGGGAUAACUUCGGGAAACCGGGUCUAAUACCGGAUGAUAUUUUGAACCGCAUGGUUCUAAAGUGAAAGACGGUCUUUGUUUCUGUAAUGGCUGGCUCCGCGUUGGAUUAGCUAGUUGGUAAGGUAACGGCUUACCAAGGCAACGAUGCAUAGCCGACCUGAGAGGGUGAUCGGCGACACGGGAGGUGAGACAGGGACGCGACGACUAGGGGAGGGCGCAGUCGGGAAUCGGACGCAAUGGGGGAGAGCCUGACAGAGCAACGCGGAGUGAGUGAUGAAGAAGCUCGGAUCGGAAAGCUCUGUUAUUAGGGGAGAACAUAUGUGAAAGUAACAGAGCAGAUAUUGACGGUACCUGAAGAAAAAGCCACGGCUAACUACGUG